This 465-nucleotide ribosomal RNA is filed under the name Vreelandella stevensii. RNAcentral's name for it is "partial 16S ribosomal RNA". It matches the Rfam family "Bacterial small subunit ribosomal RNA", at positions 338 to 795 of the family's 1533-position model. Lineage: Bacteria; Pseudomonadati; Pseudomonadota; Gammaproteobacteria; Oceanospirillales; Halomonadaceae. The record is from RNAcentral.
CCUACGGGGGGCUGCAGUGGGGAAUAUUGGACAAUGGGCGAAAGCCUGAUCCAGCCAUGCCGCGUGUGUGAAGAAGGCCUUCGGGUUGUAAAGCACUUUCAGUGGGGAAGAAAGCCUUGGGGCUAAUACCCUCGAGGAAGGACAUCACCCACAGAAGAAGCACCGGCUAACUCCGUGCCAGCAGCCGCGGUAAUACGGAGGGUGCGAGCGUUGAUCGGAAUUACUGGGCGUAAAGCGCGCGUAGGCGGUCUGAUAAGCCGGUUGUGAAAGCCCCGGGCUCAACCUGGGAACGGCAUCCGGAACUGUCAGGCUAGAGUGCAGGAGAGGAAGGUAGAAUUCCCGGUGUAGCGGUGAAAUGCGUAGAGAUCGGGAGGAAUACCAGUGGCGAAGGCGGCCUUCUGGACUGACACUGACGCUGAGGUGCGAAAGCGUGGGUAGCAAACAGGAUUAGAUACCCUAGUAGUC